AACUUCCCUUGCCAGUGUGCCCAUGGGGAGAGGCUGGCCUGCUCAGAACAGCUCCAGGUAUUAGGUCCCCAUGACCAUUCCCACAUUUGUGAAUAAGCAGCAUGGUUAACUGAGCCUGUCCUUGAGAGGGCACCUACAUUUGGCAUUCAGAUCAUCAGGCUUCUGAUCCUGCAGGGAAGAGUGCCAGCACCUGAUGGAGGAGGCCAACAAAGUCCAGACAGAAAAGGAAGGAAGAGCAGACAAUGUUGGUUUUGGUGCCUGAGAUCUGAGUGCAUUCCCUGAGGAAUGGAGGUCCCUAAGGAGUUGUGAUGGGCCAGAAUGUUGACUCCAGAUGUUCCCAGCGCCCAGACUCGUUGGCUCAGGAGGACUCUGAAUGAUAAUAUCCCAUCAGCUGAGAUUUUUGAUGCAGAUUUUCCAGCCUAUGUUAUGACUCACAUUACAACAGUUACCUAAACAAAGAUCUUUGCUCUUUCUGGAUGAGUUUCCAGUGAUAAACGAAUAAAA
This 504-nucleotide long non-coding RNA is filed under the name Homo sapiens (human). RNAcentral describes it as "HSALNT0392834". The record is from RNAcentral. Lineage: Eukaryota; Metazoa; Chordata; Mammalia; Primates; Hominidae.